This 253-nucleotide ribosomal RNA is filed under the name uncultured bacterium. RNAcentral describes it as "partial 16S ribosomal RNA". It matches the Rfam family "Bacterial small subunit ribosomal RNA", at positions 524 to 776 of the family's 1533-position model. The record is from RNAcentral.
UACGUAGGGUGCAAGCGUUGUCCGGAAUUAUUGGGCGUAAAGAGCUCGUAGGCGGCUCGUCGCGUCGACCGUGAAAACCCGCGGCUUAACUGCGGGCUUGCGGUCGAUACGGGCGGGCUAGAGUUCGGUAGGGGAGACUGGAAUUCCUGGUGUAGCGGUGAAAUGCGCAGAUAUCAGGAGGAACACCGGUGGCGAAGGCGGAUCUCUGGGCCAUUACUGACGCUGAGGAGCGAAAGCGUGGGGAGCGAACAGG